AAAAUUAGAGACUAACAGUAAAUUUACUUUAAUUUUUACGAAUAAUUCUCUAUCAAUGUAAAAAUUUUUCAUAUACGCGUGUAUGAAAGAAAAACACUACUAUUUUUCCACAUUCGUGAAAACUGCUUAACUGGGACAGUAACCGAGCGGCCAGUGAAUAUUUAAAAUACUGUAACCGACGAAUACGUAUGCUUCUAGGACCACGUGGAAUCUUUCCCAUGGUAGGUAAGCAAAACAAAUGUGCUUCCCAGAACCCUCCAAACUGCUCGUGGGUAUAUUACUACAGAUUACAUAAUGCAGCAGCGUUCCGGGACGCAAGCCCAG
Molecule: long non-coding RNA, 324 nt
Filed under: Homo sapiens (human)
Lineage: Eukaryota; Metazoa; Chordata; Mammalia; Primates; Hominidae
Description: non-protein coding lnc-FCGR3B-4:2
Source: RNAcentral